This 253-nucleotide ribosomal RNA is filed under the name uncultured bacterium. RNAcentral describes it as "partial 16S ribosomal RNA". It matches the Rfam family "Bacterial small subunit ribosomal RNA", at positions 524 to 776 of the family's 1533-position model. The record is from RNAcentral.
UACGAAGGGGGCGAGCGUUGUUCGGAAUCACUGGGCGUAAAGCGCACGUAGGCGGCGCGUUAAGUCAGGGGUGAAAUCCUGGAGCUCAACUCCAGAACUGCCUUUGAUACUGGCGUGCUCGAGUGUGGGAGAGGUUGGUGGAACUCCGAGUGUAGAGGGGAAAUUCGUAGAUAUUCGGAAGAACACCAGUGGCGAAGGCGGCCAACUGGCCCAUUACUGACGCUGAGGUGCGAAAGCGUGGGGAGCAUACAGG